GUUAUAAUAAGAGGGGAAGGAUAGGAAUCAAAAAUCGCAGGUGAUAGAGUGAUACAAUAAAUUUUCUCGAUGCACAUAUCGUUGCCCUUACGGAGUAAUAAUAAUAUAAUUUCUCGAUGAAUGAAUAAUUAAGAGAAUCUAAUCGAGAGUUGAUUUUGAUAUAGCGAACAUAUAUUUUAAACAAUGUCAGUAUUAGUAAAAAAUUUUAACGAUACGAAAUACAUCGAGCUUAUCAAAGAAGCUCAUCAUCUCAUUUUCUCACUUUAAACGAGAGCGAACAAAUUACUUGCCCUAGCGUUUGUUAAUUUUUUUACCAAAUUUACGAUAGCGGUUAUCAUGGGAUAGCGUUAAGCAACGCUUAUAAAACAAUAUGAGCCGCAUUCGAAUAUUUUCGAGCACGUAGUAUUAAGAGAAUCGGUGG
Long non-coding RNA from Apis dorsata (giant honeybee), 421 nucleotides. RefSeq lists it as uncharacterized. The transcript is spliced from 4 exons. NCBI's taxonomy places the organism in Eukaryota, Metazoa, Arthropoda, Insecta, Hymenoptera, Apidae. The record is from RefSeq and is a predicted model, not a curated record.